Long non-coding RNA from Polistes canadensis, 1321 nucleotides. RefSeq lists it as uncharacterized. NCBI's taxonomy places the organism in Eukaryota, Metazoa, Arthropoda, Insecta, Hymenoptera, Vespidae. The record is from RefSeq and is a predicted model, not a curated record. The transcript has 3 exons.
UUGAAGAGGGAGAUGGGGGUGGGGAAAAAAAAAGCAAAAUAAAAUAAAAUAAAUCGUAGGGGAACACAGAACGGUGCCUUGCAUAUGUGGGUGGGCAUUCUUCGUGCCGAGGAGGGCAGGGGCAAAAGCAGGGCCAGGCAGAGUGGAGAGAAGAGGAGGGUAAGUUGAGAAAGAAAGAAGAAGAAGGAAAGGAAAGGAGAGGAGAGGAGUGGUGGUACUACCAGAUUGCAAGAAGCCGAGGCUGGCCAAGGCCAGAACGUCGCGGAGCAGAGUCGGAUUAUUUUUAGCGCUUCCUACUAUUGUGCAAAGUACAAGAGUAGUCUGUCAAGCGUCUAGGCGUUCUUUGCUUUUAACGGGGGAGUCCACCGUUAGAUAUUUAACAUCCUUUCACCUUCUAUUCCUCUUCCCCCUUACCUCGUCUACUUAUUAACCGUGAUUCCUCCUCCCACAGCUUGUUUCUUUUCCUUGUACCAAUCGUCGAGUUCCUAUUCCGAUUAAAAUCGAUGAUGACUGUUGCGUUAUAAUAAUAUACAGAACCUCAGACACGCACAUACGUAUUACGAAUGUAUAUAUAUAUAUAUAUAUGUGUAUAUAGUAUAAUACGUGUAUCGUAUCAUCAUCGUACCACGCAACGACGAUCAUCGUACCAAGAGACCUUCUUGCAUUAGCUUGAAAUCGCGAAAGUGCAGACGUACUUAAAAGAAUCACGGUUAUGCAAUUCUCUCGGAUCGAUGUGACACGCAUAGAAAACGUACGAAUUGAUGGAAUGAGGAAAUAAUGAAGAAUCGAGAACGUUGAGUUAAAAUAACUGUUGGAGAAAACUUCAUGAAGGAUUUUUUAUUCUACGAUUGAGCACCUCUGUACCAGAAUGAAAAAUCAUGGAAAGAAGAAGAAGAAGAAGAAGAAAAAAAAGAGAAGGAGGAGAGACUCGUUUCACGAGUAAAACGAGUACGAAGAAGGCCUUUUUCUAGAAUACUCGAGAGAGAUUCUAGGACGGUGUGGUAGAAACAGCACGUCGAAUACAACGAUGCACAUGGCCUUAGCCUAGUUGCAGAAAAGGCCGUUCGCUGGACACGAUGACGGCUGACAAUAACAACACUAACACACAACCACCAUUACUACCAUUAGCAUUACCACCAUUACUACUACUACUACUACUACUAACACCAAUCCGACUACUAUCUCUACGACAAGAAAGUUUAAGUAAAUCAACUAAUCAGUACCACGGUGUUGUCUCGCGUACGAGUUCGUGCUCCCUUGGAUUUAUUUUUACUGGAAUAAAACCGACUGUGUUUAUACGACAUCGAAAUACACGUAGUUU